Molecule: ribosomal RNA, 492 nt
Filed under: uncultured bacterium
Lineage: Bacteria
Description: partial 16S ribosomal RNA
Rfam family: Bacterial small subunit ribosomal RNA
Source: RNAcentral
AGUGAACGCUGGCGGUAGGCCUAACACAUGCAAGUCGAACGGCAGCACAGUAAGAGCUUGCUCUUACGGGUGGCGAGUGGCGGACGGGUGAGGAAUACAUCGGCAUCUACUUUUUCGUGGGGGAUAACGGAGGGAAACUUACGCUAAUACCGCAUACGACCUACGGGUGAAAGCAGGGGAUCUUCGGACCUUGCGCGAUUGAAUGAGCCGAUGUCGGAUUAGCUAGUUGGCGGGGUAAAGGCCCACCAAGGCGACGAUCCGUAGCUGGUCUGAGAGGAUGAUCAGCCACACUGGAACUGAGACACGGUCCAGACUCCUACGGGAGGCAGCAGUGGGGAAUAUUGGACAAUGGGCGCAAGCCUGAUCCAGCCAUACCGCGUGGGUGAAGAAGGCCUUCGGGUUGUAAAGCCCUUUUGUUGGGAAAGAAAAGCAGCAGGUUAAUCCCCCGCUGUUCUGACGGUACCCAAAGAAUAAGCACCGGCUAACUUCGUG